Molecule: long non-coding RNA, 469 nt
Organism: Acanthochromis polyacanthus (spiny chromis)
Lineage: Eukaryota; Metazoa; Chordata; Actinopteri; Pomacentridae
Exons: 2
Source: RefSeq, a predicted model, not a curated record
GAAGAGCUGAGGCAGCUGGUCCAUCAGCUUAAACCUGAACACAUUCAAUGAUGGUUUUAAGGGCUGAAUAAUCUCCCAGUUACUUUCAUCAUCGACCCACCACUCCAUUUUAAAGUGAAGAGGGUGGCGAAGGCAGACAUGAUGACCAGAGGCACCGUGAUGGCCAUGGCACGGAUAGGCCCCGCCCAGGGGGAGUGGACUGGAGGAUGGAACAAACACACCCAGCAUGACACACCUGAAUCUGUUUUUGUGUAUAUACAGAGCAUUUUGGUUGAUACACAAAUGGAAAAAGGUCUGUUAUUGGUAGGAUGAACUGUUACGGAGCCAAAGGAUGAGCUGAAGUAUCAUUUGGACAUUUAAUCUGAUUAUAGUAGGAACUGAAAAGCAGGUAAACUGAGAAUGAAAAGAGGAAAAACAAGAAAAAAAGGAAAAUGGCAAUUAAAGUGUCUUUCAGAUUUGGGACAAUGAA